GAUAAGCUUCACAGACAGCAGCACCCCACCAGGCUUAGCCCAGGGUGCUGAGCCACACCAGGACCGCAGCCGUUUCUCUGCGCCUCCAAACCCUGCCUGCAACAGAAAGUGCCCUCCCAGAGUCGCAGCCACCUCAGCUCUCUGGCAGGACAGUGCUCCGGGAAGGAACAGAGGCUGUCUGUAAAUUGCAGUUUAAAACCAUAAUAUCCCUGCAUUGAACUGUCGUCAGAUGGUUGCAGUUUUCUAAUCUGUAUUUUGUCUGAAGGAAAUGAGAAGCAGAAUUUAUCCUUCCUCCCCUGUUAAUUUUAAUCCUUUUGCAUGGAGCUGGAUUCAUGCUGCAGGCAGGGCAUUAAACCUGAAACAAGGUGGAUCCAAAUGGAAAAAAAUGUAGAUGAUUACUGGCCAUCUGCCAAAAAGACGCUUGGGGACGUGAAAAUUCUGGAAUCACUGAAGGUUCAUUUUGAUCAAAUAUUCAUAUUCUGAGCCAUGUGUCAACAAUUUUACUGUUUAAAGACAAGAAGGUUGUGGAGGGGAAUACUGACACCAUCCUUCACAGGGGAGUUUACUUUCAGACUUCUUACAUGAAGGAGAAUAUGUUGUUAAAGAAUGGAGCAAACAUUAAGAUGUGUUCAAAUGAAGGUGCAAAAGCACUAGAAACAGGAGUUGCUUCCCUUAGGGAAAGGGGGCAAGUGGGAAACAGAGAGGUCAUAGUAACACACUCAGUUUUUAAGUUAAGAUUAACCAUAUGUAUGAACAUUUGGGAAAUGCUUCAUGUAUUUUUAUUUCCACAGAUUCAUUGUACUGAUACCAUUAGACAGAACUAUCUUUUUUAACUGAAAAAGCUGCAGUCCUCCAGGCUCACAUGUAGAGGUGGAGUCCUAGAUUUGGAGGCCUCAAUAUAUAGACUAGCCAACACCUUCUCAUUGCAUUCAUUCUGUGAUACUUUAUUUCUCUGCUACUGAAAGGCAACUCUUUCUUGGAAAAAUUGCCUUCUCCAUCACGUUUGGUCCACUUAUUGCAGAAUAGCUUAAUAAGAUCUUUCUGUGAUCAGCAACGAGAUUUUUCCAGCAGAAUAUUUUUCUAUUCCUGAGCAUUUCACAAACCGCCUCUGAUUUUCUCAGGCAGAUUUGAUAAGCUAUGUUAUGCAAAUAUACAUCAACUCACGGGCUGUGCACGAAGUCCUUGUGUGAUUUGUCUUCAUUACUGCUCCAGUUUGGUUGCACAUCUUGGUCACAGGAACCACACAUGACAGACUGUUUCUUCCUAGUAAGCUGAGCCUAAAUGAGAUAAACCAGGGAAGUUCUGUAAACCAAUUAAAUGGUUUUGAGGGCUGUUCCACCAAUGGAAGAUUGAUUUGUGCUCCACCUAUUUUAUCCUUGCUUCCUUAUCACUUGCAUUUCCUCAACAAAUAUGCCAUGAAUAUAAAAAUGUGAAACAAUUAAAAUUAGCCAUAAGUGAAAGAAUUCCUACUGCAGGGAGACACAUUUGUACUUAGCAAAUUGGUGUCCAAAUGCUUUUUACUUUGUUAGGGGCAGUGAGAGGGGAAUGAAGACAAGGUCAGACA
Lagopus muta (rock ptarmigan) is the source of this 1564-nucleotide long non-coding RNA. RefSeq lists it as uncharacterized. The record is from RefSeq and is a predicted model, not a curated record. Lineage: Eukaryota; Metazoa; Chordata; Aves; Galliformes; Phasianidae. The transcript is spliced from 4 exons.